Molecule: ribosomal RNA, 403 nt
Filed under: Fusobacteriota bacterium
Lineage: Bacteria; Fusobacteriati; Fusobacteriota
Description: Fusobacteria bacterium partial 16S ribosomal RNA
Rfam family: Bacterial small subunit ribosomal RNA
Source: RNAcentral
UGGGGAAUAUUGCACAAUGGAGGGAACUCUGAUGCAGCGACGCCGCGUGAACGAAGAAGGCUUUCGAGUCGUAAAGUUCUUUUAUCUGGGAAGAUAAUGACGGUACCAUAAGAAAAAGCCCCGGCUAACUACGUGCCAGUAGCCGCGGUAAUACGUAGGGGGCUAGCGUUGUCCGGAAUCACUGGGCGUAAAGGGUUCGCAGGCGGUAAUGCAAGUCAGGUGUAAAAGGCAGUAGCUUAACUACUGUAAGCAUUUGAAACUGCAUAUCUUGAGAAGAGUAGAGGUAAGUGGAAUUUUUAGUGUAGCGGUGAAAUGCGUAGAUAUUAAAAAGAAUACCGGUGGCGAAGGCGACUUACUGGGCUCAUUCUGACGCUGAGGAACGAAAGCGUGGGUAGCAAACAGG